GGCNUUAGAGUUUGAUCCUGGCUCAGAACGAACGCUGGCGGCAGGCCUAACACAUGCAAGUCGAGCGCNCYCUUCGGRGUGAGCGGCGGACGGGUUAGUAACGCGUGGGAAYRUACCCUUNUCUAYGGAAUAGCCUYNGGAAACKRAGAGUAAUACCAUAUACGCCCUUCGGGGGAAAGAUUUAUCGGUGAAGGAUUGGCCCGCGUUUGAUUAGAUAGUUGGUGGGGUAAUGGCCUACCAAGUCUACGAUCAAUAGCUGGUUUGAGAGGAUGAUCAGCAACACUGGGACUGAGACACGGCCCAGACUCCUACGGGAGGCAGCAGUGGGGAAUCUUAGACAAUGGGCGCAAGCCUGAUCUAGCCAUGCCGCGUGAGUGACGAAGGCCUUAGGGUCGUAAAGCUCUUUCGCCAGAGAUGAUAAUGACNGUAUCUGGUAAAGAAACNCCGGCUAACUCCGUGCCAGCAGCCGCGGUAAUAAGGGCG
Molecule: ribosomal RNA, 483 nt
Filed under: uncultured Loktanella sp.
Lineage: Bacteria; Pseudomonadati; Pseudomonadota; Alphaproteobacteria; Rhodobacterales; Roseobacteraceae
Description: partial 16S ribosomal RNA
Rfam family: Bacterial small subunit ribosomal RNA
Source: RNAcentral